Molecule: RNA transcript, 1170 nt
Organism: Atta colombica
Lineage: Eukaryota; Metazoa; Arthropoda; Insecta; Hymenoptera; Formicidae
Gene: ppl
Gene name: glycine cleavage system H protein
Exons: 4
Source: RefSeq, a predicted model, not a curated record
UGUACUCGCGAUAGUUCUUAUGUACGUAAUCAGCAUUUAUAUAUUUCGAAUAGAGAAAAACAGAAAGCUAAGAUUUAAAAAAAAUGUAUUUUUGAUAAUUUUGAGAUUCGAACGUGUUAUCCAUGGUACAUCCUGUGCUUGAUCAUGUUGACUCGUUCGAAUUUAGUUCAAUUAAAUUUCUGAGAUGAGAUAAGAGAGGAGCCGAUAAUGAUAGAAAAGUGCUGAGACUGGAUUGUAAUCUUGUCUUUCAUUAUUCGACCAAGAAUAUCAAUCGGCUCCGUUUUGCUCUCACUGCCGGUUACAUUCGCGCGUGCGGCCUUAUCUUCAUAAAGUGAAAAAAAAUAGAGGUUAGGACAGUUCGUGCGCGUUGCUCUGCACGGCGAUCGCGACGGCGAAGGAAAAAUGGCAAGAUUGAUCACCCAGAUUAGCAGGUGCGUGAUAAAAACUGUCUCGCACGAUUUGCUCUAUACAACUGCGAAGUCGAAGAUAGCCCUUGUCAUAAUGCGAUCCAUAACCACAACUCAGUAUUUGAGAGAUGAACGAUGGUACACUGAUAAACACGAAUGGGUAACAGUAGAUGGCAAAAUCGGCACAGUCGGUAUAUCGGAUUACGCGCAGGAUGCUCUCGGAGAUGUGGUGUACGCGCAACUUCCCGAUGUAGGAUCGGCAAUCAAGAAAAAUGAGGAAUGUGGAGCUCUAGAAUCAGUGAAGGCAGCUUCAGAAUUGACAAGUCCGGUCAGUGGGAGAGUCACAGCGAAAAAUGAGGCAGUUGAAAGUAAACCCGGGUUAAUUAAUAAAUCUUGUUACAAAGACGGUUGGCUAUUCAAAGUAGAGUUAAACAACUCAGACGAGCUCAAGAACUUAAUGAAUGAAGAGGCUUAUAAUGUGUUUUUGAAAUCAGACGCGCAUUAAAUCUAGAAAUCUAAUGCCAGAAAAUUUUCUUCAAAGUAGAACUUGAAGCAAAUUGCGCAGGUACGUGUUCGAUACAUGAAUAAAAACAAGAGGAACCGUAACGGAUAAUAUUACCAAUUUACCAAUGCAAGAAAAGAUUUCUGUCUCUGUUGCCGUUUAACUUUGCAUCUGACACAAUAUGUAAUUUCCAAUGGCUUCAAAUACCACAGGUGUCAAAAAGACAACCUUCACAGCACUGAAGAAUUUCUUUGACUAUUG